UAGGGAAUCUUCGGCAAUGGACGAAAGUCUGACCGAGCAACGCCGCGUGAGUGAAGAAGGUUUUCGGAUCGUAAAACUCUGUUGGUAGAGAAGAACGUUGGUGAGAGUGGAAAGCUCAUCAAGUGACGGUAACUACCCAGAAAGGGACGGCUAACUACGUGCCAGCAGCCGCGGUAAUACGUAGGUCCCGAGCGUUGUCCGGAUUUAUUGGGCGUAAAGCGAGCGCAGGUGGUUUAUUAAGUCUGGUGUAAAAGGCAGUGGCUCAACCAUUGUAUGCAUUGGAAACUGGUAGACUUGAGUGCAGGAGAGGAGAGUGGAAUUCCAUGUGUAGCGGUGAAAUGCGUAGAUAUAUGGAGGAACACCGGUGGCGAAAGCGGCUCUCUGGCCUGUAACUGACACUGAGGCUCGAAAGCGUGGGGAGCAAACAGGAUUAG
RNAcentral lists this ribosomal RNA (434 nucleotides) under uncultured bacterium. RNAcentral describes it as "partial 16S ribosomal RNA". It matches the Rfam family "Bacterial small subunit ribosomal RNA", at positions 355 to 781 of the family's 1533-position model. The record is from RNAcentral.